This 459-nucleotide ribosomal RNA is filed under the name uncultured bacterium. Its description in RNAcentral is "partial 16S ribosomal RNA". It matches the Rfam family "Bacterial small subunit ribosomal RNA", at positions 338 to 795 of the family's 1533-position model. The record is from RNAcentral.
CCUACGGGUGGCAGCAGUGAGGAAUAUUGGUCAAUGGGCGGAAGCCUGAACCAGCCAAGUAGCGUGCGGGAUGAAGGCCCUACGGGUCGUAAACCGCUUUUGCACGGGGAUAACACCCUCCACUUGUGGAGGUCUGCAGGUACCGUGCGAAUAAGGGCCGGCUAAUUCCGUGCCAGCAGCCGCGGUAAUACGGAAGGCCCGAGCGUUAUCCGGAUUCAUUGGGCUUAAAGGGAGCGUAGGCGGGCGUUCAAGUCAGCUGUAAAAUCGCGCGGCUCAAGGCCGUACAGCCGUUGAAACUGGCAGUCUUGAGUGGGCGAGAAGUAUGCGGAAUGCGUGGUGUAGCGGUGAAAUGCAUAGAUAUCACGCAGAACUCCGAUUGCGAAGGCAGCAUACCGGCGCCCUACUGACGCUGAGGCACGAAAGCGUGGGUAUCGAACAGGAUUAGAUACCCCAGUAGUC